CAGUGAAACUCCUGGAAGUCACCGUGGGGUGGGGGUGAAAGUAGGGGACCGUGAGAAACUCAAGAAGAUGCCUUCGUGGGAUGCUGGCUAGGAGACCAUGUGUGGUACCUGAGGAAACUGCAGGAAAGCUGCCAAGAGAUGCUGCUUCCAUGGGGUGCUUUGCCUGCCAGUCUGGCACCACAGGAGCCGGCAGGAAGAGGAGCACAGCAGAAAGAUUCUUCUGCCUGCAGCACCAGAACUAAGAGAAUGCCUGCCUGGUUCCGGAUGGAGCAGCACAAUGUAUGGCCAUUGCCGUAAAUGCACUGCUGCCAUACUAGAGCCCUAUCAGAAGCGGACCUAAAGGUCUGCUCUGACGUCCAAGCACGGGACACCCAGGGUGACCCAGUCAGCAUUCACACGGGCAAAGUCCAUAAGCAUAAAAG
Equus quagga is the source of this 422-nucleotide long non-coding RNA. RefSeq lists it as uncharacterized. The transcript has 3 exons. NCBI's taxonomy places the organism in Eukaryota, Metazoa, Chordata, Mammalia, Perissodactyla, Equidae. The record is from RefSeq and is a predicted model, not a curated record.